Molecule: transfer RNA, 74 nt
Filed under: Phycisphaerales bacterium
Lineage: Bacteria; Pseudomonadati; Planctomycetota; Phycisphaerae; Phycisphaerales
Description: tRNA-Arg
Rfam family: tRNA
About the family: Transfer RNA (tRNA) molecules are approximately 80 nucleotides in length. Their secondary structure includes four short double-helical elements and three loops (D, anti-codon, and T loops).
Source: RNAcentral
GUGCCCGUAGCUCAAUUGGAUAGAGCGCUGCCCUCCGAAGGCAGAGGUUGCAGGUUCGACUCCCGCCGGGCAUA